CAGAUUGUAGCUUAUAUAUAAAGUUCAUUUUUUACGUUAAUGUGAAAAUGUUGUUCAUUCUAUCUGA
This 67-nucleotide transfer RNA is filed under the name Tautocerus dworakowskae. RNAcentral describes it as "tRNA-Val". The record is from RNAcentral. Lineage: Eukaryota; Metazoa; Arthropoda; Insecta; Hemiptera; Cicadellidae. RNAcentral also lists the same sequence under 3 other names.